GAUGAACGCUGGCGGCGUGCCUAAUACAUGCAAGUCGAGCGAACAGACGAGGAGCUUGCUCCUCUGACGUUAGCGGCGGACGGGUGAGUAACACGUGGAUAACCUACCUAUAAGACUGGGAUAACUUCGGGAAACCGGAGCUAAUACCGGAUAAUAUAUUGAACCGCAUGGUUCAAUAGUGAAAGACGGUUUUGCUGUCACUUAUAGAUGGAUCCGCGCCGCAUUAGCUAGUUGGUAAGGUAACGGCUUACCAAGGCGACGAUGCGUAGCCGACCUGAGAGGGUGAUCGGCCACACUGGAACUGAGACACGGUCCAGACUCCUACGGGAGGCAGCAGUAGGGAAUCUUCCGCAAUGGGCGAAAGCCUGACGGAGCAACGCCGCGUGAGUGAUGAAGGUCUUCGGAUCGUAAAACUCUGUUAUUAGGGAAAAACAAAUGUGUAAGUAACUAUGCCCGUCUUGACGGUACCUAAUAAGAAAGCCCCGGCUAACUACGUG
Molecule: ribosomal RNA, 497 nt
Filed under: uncultured bacterium
Lineage: Bacteria
Description: partial 16S ribosomal RNA
Rfam family: Bacterial small subunit ribosomal RNA
Source: RNAcentral